This 367-nucleotide unclassified non-coding RNA is filed under the name uncultured Actinomycetes bacterium. Its description in RNAcentral is "uncultured actinobacterium contains 16S-23S intergenic spacer region". The record is from RNAcentral. Lineage: Bacteria; Bacillati; Actinomycetota; Actinomycetes.
UCCGAGUUGUCCCCGGCAGUCCUCUUAGAGUCCCCGACAUAACUCGCUGGCAACUAAGAGCCGGGUUUGCGUCAGAGGAUUACUCCUCUGAGGGCCAUCUUCAGAUAGCCAUGCAGCACCUGUGCUAGCCCCUUGCGGACACGGGCUUUCACCCGCUUUAACUAGCAUGUCAAACCCAGGUAAGGUUCUUCGCGUUGCAUCGAAUUAAGCCACAUGCUCCGCCGCUUGUGCGGGUCCCCGUCAAUUCCUUUGAGUUUUAGCCUUGCGGCCGUACUCCCCAGGCGGAGUGCUUAAUGCGUUAGCUGCGGCACAGAGAGGGUUGAAGACCUCCCCACACCUAGCACUCAACGUUUACGGCUGGGACUAC